UGAUUGACAGUCUGGUUUGGAAUGAUUGACAGGUCCUAUGGAGGAGGCAGCAGAGAAUCUGCUCUCCUCGUUUGGAUUAAUUCUGAUAUAAUAACUGUUGGUUUAUUUAUUUAUUUAUGGAGCAGCAGAACAUUUUACACAGACAGUUUUCCUGCCCGUUUGCUUGUUUCAACCAGUUUUCUACCUUCGGCUGAUUCUACCAGCAGACACUGAAAGGACUCUGAUAGUUUGAGUGAAAGAAGCAGUUUCUCCUUAAGGUCAGAGAUUGCAGCAUCUGAGGGCCUCUUCAAAAGAAGAUGUAGUUGAUGAAGGCGUUCUGGAGCAGGACCAGAAAGACCACGACCAAGCAGCCUUGAGAUCUUAGGCAGUGUCUCCCUCAGGUCCCUCUCUAUCUCCCUACACAUCCACCAACCACUGGAACACAUCUCCAAAGUUCUGCCGGGCCAGCUCAGCUUCCCCUCAGAAGAAGUGCUGCCACCUGCCAGAUGAAGGAGCCUUUUGAGAGGCAGCUGGCAUCGUGAUUGGACUGUACUUUGGUUUGUUCCAAUCCAGCUUCAGCUCCAGAGACGGCAGGCGGGACGAGUCAGCGGAGGCCGGGUGGACGAAGGCAUGCAGCUGAGUACAAUCCAGAAAACAACAGAGGAGGAGUGCAGCAGCUCAGGGCCAGAACAAACAGAGUAGCAUCGUAUGUCUCUUAGAAAACAUCAUAGUAUAGCCUUUGGUAUGAAAAAAUGACAUAAUAUACAUUGUAUAUUGUACAAAAAACAAGUCAAAGGAAAGAGACAUACAUUGUAGAAUUGUAGUAAUUGUGGGCUGACUGAUUUACUGAUUAUCAGUAUUUUAUUUUUUACUGAUUUACGGUAAUAAAUACAUUUAAAAAUGGCGCUACUUUGGCUCUGAACCUUAAUCUACCUGUGGUCGCUCUGUCUUCUGGAGUGAUUUGAUUGGUUAUACGUCACAAAUAAAACUCCUUUAACUUAACAUCUGUAAACAAAACAAAAACGUAUCAACAAAGUUUCCUGUCAGUUUGUGUUCUUCUAAGUUUUUUAACUCCAAGAUUUUAAAUACUUUCAUUUACUGAAUAUCGACUCCAAAUGUCUCAGUUAUAAUCAUUAUCAGCCUUAAAAACCCACAAAACACCCCUCUAUACUCGACCACACUUAGUACAGUCCAGUUCCCCCUUCUAUAAAUCUGCUUGGAAUCGUCCACUUCCUGUUUGUCAAAGUGGCCUUCUACCUGGACAGGUUUUGUUGGAGCUCAUGCAACAAACAUUUUGGGUAACUGCACUUUAAUAUGGAUGGAUGACACUGAAUUAGAGUCUGUUUUCAUGAGACUGAGUUAAGAUGUGUAGCUCUGUCAUUAAAUAGGAAAUUAUUUCUCAGAAUUCACAGAGAAAAGUCUGAAAUGUUUGCUAGGUUAGCGUCCCACAUGUUCUUUAGCUCAGCUAAAGCUAACUCUCUCCAACUUCUGGAUCUCUUGAGUUGCUUGUUGUUAAAAUAUCUUGCUGUAGGUGCUGAAGCUCAGAAAGUCUGAGAUGUUUGUUCAAAAUAAGCUCAUUCUCAAGUCUUAUCUGAACUGUCCUCUUUUGUUUGAACUUUCCCUAAACUUAGGAGUUAAUGACAGAGCAGCACAUCCAGACUCAGUCUCAUUUAUGUAGAGAUUAAACUUCAGUGUCAUUCAUUGAUGUUAAAGUGCAGUUUUUCAAAUGUUUGUUGCACAUGCUCCCGACCAAACCAGUCCAGGUGGAAGACGAUGUGAAGAGAAAGCUCCAGAGGAUGAAUAUCACACAUUUACGUUGGAAAUAAAUGUCCUUUAAUUUGACAUUGUCAUGCAAAUGAUGUUGAAAUUUUUGAGUGUUUUGUUGAUAUUGGUUUCUAAAUGUUUUUUGACACUCGGCCCCAAAGAUUAAAACCUUCUACGGCUCACAAGCUGCAACAAUUCACACAUUAUCAACUGUCUUUCUGACUAAACUAAGAUUAAAAAGUGAAAAACUACCUGAUUCCUGCAUCAUGACUGUAAAUCUUUUUGGUUUUUAUGACAGUAAACUGGAUAUAUUUGGGUUUGACAUUUUAUAAACCAAAACAAGAAAUGAAUUACUGGAGAAAACGACAGAUUAAUGGACAAAGAAAAUGUGUUUUCCAACAUAUAUGGCUGAAUUACUCCAACAUAGAAGAUACAUACAAUUUUAGUUCAAUUUUAUUUAUAUAAUGCCAAUUACAGGUCAAAUUGUCUCAAGAUGCUUUAUUUUUAUAUUUUUUGUCAUAUUUAAAAUAUGACAAAGUAAGAACUUUAAACCUCUUGACUAAUCCAAUUUAUUAUUUAGUUUUUAAGAGACUAAUUGACAAUUCAAACUUUCGC
This is a long non-coding RNA of Amphiprion ocellaris (clown anemonefish), 2358 nucleotides long. RefSeq lists it as uncharacterized. NCBI's taxonomy places the organism in Eukaryota, Metazoa, Chordata, Actinopteri, Pomacentridae. The transcript is spliced from 3 exons. The record is from RefSeq and is a predicted model, not a curated record.